Molecule: ribosomal RNA, 306 nt
Filed under: uncultured bacterium
Lineage: Bacteria
Description: bacterial SSU rRNA
Rfam family: Bacterial small subunit ribosomal RNA
Source: RNAcentral
GAUGAACGCUGGCGGCGUGCUUAACACAUGCAAGUCGAACGAUGAAGCCCAGCUUGCUGGGUGGAUUAGUGGCGAACGGGUGAGUAACACGUGAGUAACCUGCCCCUCACUCUGGGAUAACUCCGGGAAACCGGUGCUAAUACUGGAUACGAUCACUUCCCGCAUGGGAUGGUGGUGGAAAGUUUUUCGGUGGGGGAUGGACUCGCGGCCUAUCAGCUUGUUGGUGGGGUAAUGGCCUACCAAGGCGACGACGGGUAGCCGGCCUGAGAGGGCGACCGGCCACACUGGGACUGAGACACGGCCCAG